This 465-nucleotide ribosomal RNA is filed under the name Vreelandella stevensii. Its description in RNAcentral is "partial 16S ribosomal RNA". It matches the Rfam family "Bacterial small subunit ribosomal RNA", at positions 338 to 795 of the family's 1533-position model. The record is from RNAcentral. Lineage: Bacteria; Pseudomonadati; Pseudomonadota; Gammaproteobacteria; Oceanospirillales; Halomonadaceae.
CCUACGGGUGGCUGCAGUGGGGAAUAUUGGACAAUGGGGGCAACCCUGAUCCAGCCAUGCCGCGUGUGUGAAGAAGGCCCUCGGGUUGUAAAGCACUUUCAGUGAGGAAGAACGCCUGGUGGUUAAUACCCAUCAGGAAAGACAUCACUCACAGAAGAAGCACCGGCUAACUCCGUGCCAGCAGCCGCGGUAAUACGGAGGGUGCGAGCGUUAAUCGGAAUUACUGGGCGUAAAGCGCGCGUAGGUGGCUUGAUAAGCCGGUUGUGAAAGCCCCGGGCUCAACCUGGGAACGGCAUCCGGAACUGUCAAGCUAGAGUGCAGGAGAGGAAGGUAGAAUUCCCGGUGUAGCGGUGAAAUGCGUAGAGAUCGGGAGGAAUACCAGUGGCGAAGGCGGCCUUCUGGACUGACACUGACACUGAGGUGCGAAAGCGUGGGUAGCAAACAGGAUUAGAUACCCCAGUAGGC